UAGGACGAAGGGAGCUAAGUGCACAAACC
Molecule: non-coding RNA, 29 nt
Filed under: Mus musculus (house mouse)
Lineage: Eukaryota; Metazoa; Chordata; Mammalia; Rodentia; Muridae
Source: RNAcentral